This is a long non-coding RNA of Alligator mississippiensis (American alligator), 5105 nucleotides long. RefSeq lists it as uncharacterized. The record is from RefSeq and is a predicted model, not a curated record. Lineage: Eukaryota; Metazoa; Chordata; Crocodylia; Alligatoridae. The transcript has 2 exons.
CUCUGAAUCUUUCCGAAUCUCUCCAAAUUAAUUUGGAGGGUUCCAAUUUGAUUUGGAGAGAUUAAAGGGUCCUCUGAUUUGAUUUGGAUUUGGAGAUUUGGCCACCAAAUUGGGCUGAAUCGCUGCUGAAUAGAAUCAGGGACCGAAGCUUCACACAACCCUAACAGAUAGGAGGGACAAAGCAGAGGUCUUCAAUGAGUUUUUUGCCUCUGUAUUCUUGAACGUGGAUCUAGACAAAUCUCCCCAAAGCAUUACAGAUAGAAGCAGGAGGAACACCAGCCUACCUACUGUCAGUGCCAACCUAGUAAAGAGACGCUUGGAGGGGUUGGAUGUGUUUAAGUCUGUGGGACCAGACAAGCUCCAUCCCAAGGUACUGAAAGAAUUAGCCAGUGUCAUAGCAGAGCCACUGGCACAGCUGUUUGAGUACUCGUGGUGCUCAGGUGAGGUCCCAGAGGACUGAAAAAGGGCCAGUGUGGUUCCUAUUUUCAAGAAGGGGAGUAUAACAGGGGCUCAGGCAAGAGCCCCAUUACUGAGAGAGCCCUGGGAGCAGGUAACUAGGAAAACGCCUCGCACAGGUGGAGGGGAUGACUCACCAGGGGAUGUUCAGGGUAAUUAGCCCACUGUGGCCAAUAUAAACUGGGUGGCAAGCAAACACACUUUGCCUUCGGGCACGGAGGACAAAGGACAAUCCAUGAGGGGAGAAGAGGAGGCAGAAAGAGAGAGACGCCGGCCGGCUGCCUCAGAGGGUGCCCGGGACUAUGAGGUGCAGAGGGACGGCUGGCCCCAAGCAGGCAAAGUACUUACCGAAGAUCCACGACUAGUCUGGUGAGUCUGGGGAAUAGCUGGGAAAUCGCCGCCAAGGAGAACUCAGAGGGAGAGUGCUCUGGGGCUGGAGCGCAAGCAGCAAAAGCAACUAGAAGCUAUCCACCCCUCUGGGCAAUGAUGGACAGUGUUGGGACUCACCUUCAGCGGGGAGGGAGCAGCAAAGGCAGCUCCCAGUUUGGGGCCCAUGGAGGCAUGGGGAAUGUGCCCCACUAGUGAAUCAAUUAGUGGAGAACAAUCCAUAGAUACUAUGUAGCCUGGGAUACCCAGAAUGCUGGGGACUGCCACACUUCCUUAUCAGCUAAGCCAAUGUUCCCUUGCUAAUGAGGUAAUUAGCGAGGAAAAUGCAACACUGUAACCUCAAGCGAAGGAAUAAACUUGCACUGUGUGAGCUCAUCACCUGGAUUCUGUGGUGUUUCCUCACUCUAUAUCUAACGCUGAACAUAUUUUCUCUUUCGAUCCAAGUCGUGGCAGGCGGGUUCGGAGGAAGACCAAACUAGACCAACCUUCUCCUCCCACAGGGAGGAACGAGGAUCCAGUACUACCUACAAGCCCCAGCUCUGGACCAGAAUCACACUGUAUAAAUGCAGAACAAACAUAUGACCUGCACCCCAAAGAACUUAAAAGAGUGGUGCUGUGGCUCAGAGGUAUGUGUCACCCACCAGACCCUCCAAUAUUGCUGACAUACCCUACCUCAGGCAGGCAGUCAAUGAUAACAUCAUUUGUUGUGUCAGAAAUUUCUCAGUGGGGCAGACCAUAAUGGCUUGAAUUAGGGAGAAAAGGUAUCUCCAUUGCUGUAGUUUAUGUUUGUAGGGGCAGGCUCCCAGUGCUUCUCCUCUCACUUGAAGAGGGUACACUGUACUGAGACUAAUAGUUUAUUUUCACAGCUGCAGUUAGAGUACUGGACUCAGAACCCACUUAAGACAUGAAGAUGUGCAAGUUAUCAGUCAGUCUCAUUGCUAAAAGGAAGAUAACAAGCAAAAAUAAUCCCAGAAACUCCUGUGUAUAAAGGGUCAGUCUUCUUCCUGGGGUUAAUUUGAAGCCAUUGGGUUACUCACAACAUGCCAAGCCUAAGCAACCAAGAGGUCUAGUUAUUGUUCCCCUUUAUGUACCAUCCUUUCUGUUAUUUUCAUGCUUAUAGUCCUGACUUAAAGCCUCAGAAGGGCAGAAUAGCUGUUCAAGGAACUUUCCACUUUAGGGGCCCCUUGAACAAAGUUGGUUCUAUGUCAGUGCUGUUAAGUUAGUGGCAUGUAGGUUGCAUGCCUUCCACAGGGGGUUAAAUUGCAGUCUCUAGCCAGAGGCAGAUUAAUGCAAGGGUCCCCUUGGUCCCCCUAAGCCCAGGGGUCCCUGCCAAUCAGAAGCCCCCUUUGGGAGCCAGGGUCAGCACAGUCCAGGAGGGCAUCCUGGCCAUGGGCAUCCAGGGUGGGCAGUGUGUGCCUCCUCCUGGCCAGGGGCUAGGGAUAGACAUGGAGCUCCCUGAAGAUAGCAGUGGAUUCCUGGGGCCAUCUGCUGCCAGGAGGCUCCAUGGGCAGCCUUGCUUCCAUUCCCACUUUCCACCAUCUGCACAUGGCCAUUGGCACCAGAGCCGCUGGGACAGCCAGGAUGGAACAGCCCCACCCACCCGGGCUGGCAGAGCGGCCAGCAAAGGGAUAGGCAGAUGGGCAGCAAGGGGCAGAACUUAUGCCCCAUCCACCAAGUUGGCCCCAGGCCCAGCCCAUCCCAUGGCAGUGGGGGACCACAGCACCAACUGUGUGACACCCACCAAGAGAGGGGCUGGGGCUGCCUUUACCUCAGCGGUGCUCAUGCCCCCUGACUCAUCCCAGAUGCACUGAGGAGGCCAGGUGGGCCCAGCUGCAGCCCCCUGGCAGAGGAAACCUGCCCUCACACGGUGGGGGGCCUCAAAUUUUCUGUUUGCCCAGGGCCCCAAUUAAUCUUAAUCCACUACUGCCUCUAGGGUCUCACCUGGCCAACACACUCCCCAGUAACUCCAGCUGCAACAGCAGCAGCAGCUGGAAUUUCCAGGCUUCCCCCUCCCUCCUCCAGCUGCAAAGGAUAAGGCAGCACAGGGACCUAAAGGUGUCCUGGGCCAUGGUUGGGAUGGGAUGAGGAGCUAUUGUGCUUGUGCAGUACAGGAAUGAGGGGGAGGGAUAGCUGUGCAGGUGCUCAUUGCAGUGUAGAAGGGUGGAGGAGUCAUGCUUGCAUAUCUGUGUGGCACAGCAGUAGGUGGCAGCACUGAGGGGUAGUGCUUAUGUGGGCAUGCAGGGCAGUGAUGAUGUGUGGAGAAGUAUCCAUGCAGCAAUCCUGGUCUCUGCUGGUGUGGCCUCUGGGGCUUAGAAAAUGGCCAGGCCUAUUCCAGGUCACUGUUGUCCUCACUUCCAGAAAAAGAGUGCAACAGUUGAAGCAAAAUGAGUAGUGAUGCACAUGAUCCUCAGCUGAGAAUAUGCUCCCUUUGGGAUCCCUGCAGCCAUCACAAUGUGUAACAGAAGGGAAAAGACAGAGGUUUGCAACUUCUCUUCAUCUGUAUCAGGUAGCAAAGCUCAACUGAAGGCUUGAACCCCUAAUAUUUGAUUUGCUGCUAGUGAAUGUGAUUUAAUUAAUAUUGCUUCUCUAUAUGGCACUUGUAUAAUAGUUUUCAUAGUUAUAGCAUAGUACAGAAUAGUAUGAGUGUUAGUUCAUAAGCUGCUAUAAAGAGUAAGUCCUAAAGUGUCAUUGCAUCCCUUUUACAGCUGGAGAUAUUAAAAAGCAGAGAAGGUAGUUGAGAAUCUCAAUUAUGUAGCAGAAAGCCCCCUUUUUCUCUUGCCUGCAUUUGCUCUCCCCUCUUUGGAUAUGUUUCUCUUUUUCUACCUUUUCUUCCUUCCUCUCUCUUUCACUUUAAGAUAAGGAAUUGUGUUUUAAAAUUUGUGUGCGCGCAUUUUGUAUCUCCCUUUGUAGUUUGGUAUUUUUUAUCUCUUUGUGUGCCAUGGCAUUUGUAGCUUAUAUUUUAUGCUCCUCACCUUUCAACUUCCAACUAAAUGUGUUUUAGUUUCAUAAGUAAGUUAUACAUUGUAACAAUGUUAACAAGGGCAGGAAUCAAACUGCCCUUCCCUGUAUCAGGCUGGCCCCUGAAAGAGCGAGUGAAUCAGUGAUUGAAUGUGUAACAUAGUAGCAGACAGCAAUUAACACCUGGAAGCUGCAGAUCAACCAAGGGAAGAACUCAAUAGAAGACAAUGUAACAACCAGGAAAUCCUAAAUGUCACUGAUCAAGGGCUAGAAGCCCUGGCCUGAGUUAAUCAACGCCAGGGACCAACUUUUGGGCUGAAUAUCUCCAGAUCGACCACUCCCAGAGCCCUAUUCUAAAUUCAUCAGCGGACUCCCAAACCUGUAUGUUCAUGCGGAUGACCCCUGGGGCUGACAGAUGCCAUCCAGUAGCCACCGAGGGGGGAGAAGUCCCACGAGGGUCAACGACCCCUGGAUUGGGCAAACCUGAAAACUAGGGAGUCACCAAAGUUUGCCAAGGACAGAUAAAAGGCAGUGAAAAGUGACCCUCAGCGGCACCCUCUUGAUCUCCAACUUGACCAGACCUGUCCAGCCAGAAGGACCAGCCGGCGACCCCCUUCUGGAGGAUAACACCAUGCUGAAAGAAGCCUCGACUGGCCAUCGACGGCAGACUCCAGCGCUUGUAGGAUAGGUAUACCUGACUCUGUAGCUUGCUACUGUGUGUGUGUGUGUGGGGCGGGGGGACCAGCCCCAAGGUUUAUGAUUUAAUUCAUUACAGUAUUUCAAUCCUCCUAAUAAACUAGAAUUUUAAGGAUCCCGAGUUGGACAUUUGUAGCCAACAAUUAUACACAGGGAAUUGGUUUCAGAGCUAGGUUUGAAACUCAGGAGUCAUUUACUUCUGUUCUUGUUCUAAGACUAUCAGACCAAAAGUCUCCCCCUGCGUGAAUAUCAUGGCCUAUCAAUGUAUAGUGUUAGUAAGUGAGGGGUGUCAGAGAUGUUAUGGCAAGAAAUACUCUGGGGACUUACCUGUUUAUUGAGAUAUAUGUAAGUGAGUUGGUUACAUGGUGUGCCUCUCAACUGUAUAUUGUAUACUAUUAUGGGUAGCUUCUGUGCAGAGCAGAGCUAGGCAUGUUUGGCCAGGCACCCCAAGCUGACCACUUUUACUUUUGCUGCUGGCUUUAGCUAAGGACUCACUGUUCAGGGUCCUCACCUUUGCUGCAGCUGAGUUAAAUCCAUAGCACCAUCACCCUGGGCUUGCAAGAGAUGCAAAAGAAACAGUUAAACAAAUAAACUGCCGCUUAGCUUUC